GUUACCCCUUAUGUUUUUAUUCAUGACGACCAAUGAAAAAAACGACAGUGUUACCCCUCAUGUUUUCAUUUGAUAAAAACGACAGUGUUACCCCUUUGGUUUUUUUUCAUGACGACCAAUAAAAUACGACAGUGUUACCCCUAAUAUUUUAUUUGACAAAGACAACCAAUAAAAUACGACAGUGUUUACCCCUUAUGUUUUUUUUCAUGACGACCAAUAAAAAACGACAGUGUUACCCCUCAUGUUUCAUUUGAUAAAAACGACAGUGUUACCCCUUGUGUUUUUUUUCAUGACGACCAAAGAAAAACAAGUGUUACCCCCUAUGUUUUUUUUCAUGACGACCAAUAAAAAACAGUGUUACCCCUUAUGUUUUUUCUAAUGACGACCAAUAAAAAAAAACAAUAGUGUUACCCCUCAUGUUUCAUUUGAUAAAAACGACAGUGUAACCCCUUGUGUUUUUUUUCAUGACGACCAAAGAAAAACAAGUGUUACCCCCUAUGUUUUUAUCCAUGACGACCAAUAAAAAAACAACAGUGUUACCCCUUAUGUUUUAUUUCAUGACGACCAAUAAAAUACGACAGUGUUACCCCUUAUAUUUUAUUUGACAUAGACAACAGUGUUACCCCAUAUGUUUUUUUUCAUGACGACCAAUAAAAAAACGACAGUGUUACCCCCUAUGUUUUUUUUCACGACGACCAAUAAAAAACAACAGUGUUACCCCCUAUGUUUUUUUUCAUGACGACCAAUAUAAUACGACAGUGUUACCCCUUACAUGUUAUUCGACAAAGACAACAGUGUUACCCCUUUUUUUUUUUCCACGACGACCAAUAAAAUACGACAGUGUUACCCCUCAUAUUUUAUAUGACAAAGACAACCAAUAAAAUACGACAGUGUUACCCCUUAUGUUUUUUUUUCAUGACGACCAAUAAAAAACAACAGUGUUACCCCUUAUGUUUUUUUUCAUGACGACCAAUAAAAAACAACAGUGUUACCCCUUAUGGUUUUUUUUCAUGACGACCAAAGAAAAAUGACAGUGUCACCCCUCAUGUUUCAUUUGAUAAAACGAACUGUGUUACCCCCUGUGUUUUUUUUCAUGACGACCAAAGAAAAACAACAGUGUUACCCCCUAUGGUUUUUUUUCAUGACGAUCAAUAGAAUACGACAGUGUUUACCCCUUAUGUUUUUAUCCAUGACGACCAAUAAAAAAACAACAGUGUUACCCCUUAUGUUUUUUUUUCAUGACGACCAAAGAAAAAUGACAGUGUCACCCCUCAUGUUUCAUUUGAUAAAAACAACAGUGUUACCCCUUAUGUUUUUUUCAUGACGACCAAUAAAAAACAACAUUGUUACCCCUUAUGUUUUUUUCAUGACGACCAAUAAAAAAACGACAGUGUCACCCCUCAUGUUUCAUUUGAUAAAAACGACAGUGUUACCCCCUAUGUUUUAACUGAUAAAUAUCGACUGUGUUACCCCUUAUGUUUUUUUCACGACGACCAAUAAAAAACAACAGUGUUACCCCUUAUGUUUUUUUUCAUGACAACCAAUAAAAAACAACAGCGUUACCCCUAUGUUUUAUUUGAUAAUUAUCGACAGUGUUACCCAUUAUAUUUAUCUCAUGACGGCCGAUAAAAAACCACAGUUACCCCUCAUGUUUUUUCCAUGUUGACCAAUAAAAACGACAGUGGUACCCCAGUCGACGGUUUUACGGGGGAUCCGAACAUGAGCUGUUCAGAGUUUUAACCUCCGUACUUAACAAUGCACCAUAAAGACACCGAAUUAAGUCAUCACAAUGGUUAUACUUGACUUAUAAUUUGCAUGAAAUAGAAAUUAGAGUCUUCCAGCAGAGGACAUCAUCCGGACUUGAACCCCGGUCUCCAGGGGGUUAGCUCACAGCUCUCUCCACUUCCCACUGUGAUUUUUUAUCAAUUAGGUCUGUGGUUAUAUAUGACAAUAAACAUGAUAGCAUUACGUUUAAAAUUAAAGAUAUUGUGUUUUCCUCAGAAAUUGAGCCGCGGUCUCCAGGGGUAAGCCAGAGUGCACUCCACUGCACCACUGAGGGGAUGACAAUACACAAUAAUCAAUCAUCAAUAAAGAGGAUAUACAUGACAUUAAAAUGUAUGUGUGCCUUUCUAUUAAUUCCCUUAUGUUUUUUUUCAUGACGACCAAUAAAAAACAACAGUGUUACCCCUUAUAUUUUUUUUCAUGACGACCAAUAAAAUACCAGUGUUACCCCUUAUGUUUUAUUUGACAAAGACAACAUUGUUACUCCUUGUGGUUUUUUUCAUGACGACCAAAGAAAAAAAAACAGUGUUACCCCCUAUGUUUUAUUUGAUAAAUAUCGACAGUGUUACCCGUUAUGUUUUUAUUCAUGACGACCAAUAAAAAACAACAGUGUUAUCCCUUAUGUUUUUUUCAUGACGAUCAAAGAAAAAUGACAGUGUUACCCCCUAUGUUUUAUUUGAUAAAUAUCGACAGUGUUACCCCUUUUAUUUUUUUCAUGACGAACAAUAAAAAACACCCGUGUUAACCCUCAUGUUUUUUUUCAUGACGACCAAUAAAAAACAACAGUGUGUGUGUGUGUGUGUGUGCGUGCGGGCGUGCGUGUGUCUCUCUCUCUCUGUGCGUCUCUCUCCCUCUGUCUCCCUCUCCCUCUCUCUCUCUCUCUCUCUCUCUCUCUCUCUCUCUCUCUCCCCCCUCCUCUCUCUCUCUCUCGCUCCCCCUCUCUCUCCCUCUCUCUCUCUCUCUCUCUCUCUCACUCUAUU
Gadus morhua (Atlantic cod) is the source of this 2762-nucleotide long non-coding RNA. The record is from Ensembl. NCBI's taxonomy places the organism in Eukaryota, Metazoa, Chordata, Actinopteri, Gadiformes, Gadidae.